This 1272-nucleotide ribosomal RNA is filed under the name Curculionoidea sp. 23 KM-2017. Its description in RNAcentral is "16S ribosomal RNA". The stretch from base 1048 to 1206 matches the Rfam family "Archaeal large subunit ribosomal RNA", at positions 2542 to 2701 of the family's 2987-position model. The record is from RNAcentral. Lineage: Eukaryota; Metazoa; Arthropoda; Insecta; Coleoptera.
UUUUUUAGUGUUAUUAAUGGGUUUAAUUAUAUUUGUUAAUAAAAUAAAAAAAUUUUGGUUGGAUUAACGGUUAAUAGGAAAUAAUAUGUUUUAAUUAUAGUUUAUUAUUAUUGAGAAAGGGAUACUUUAAAAGUUAAGAAGAAGGUUAAUUUUGUACCUUGUGUAUCAGGGUUUAUUAAUUAGUGUCAAAGUAAUUUGGGUUUCUCGAAUUAAUAAGAGUUAAAUUUUUAUAGAUUUUAUUGUGAAAUAAAUAUUUAAAAUAUAAAUUUGGAAGUAAAAUGUUAUUCGGGUUUUAAUAUAUCUGGUUUUUAAAGAAAAGAAUUUAAUUAGAUUAAUAGAAAAUUAUAAUUUUUUGUCUUUAGUUUUAUAUUUUUUGUUGAUUAUAGAUUUGGGGAUGAGCUUAAAUUUAGAAAUUUAAAAUUUUAUGGGGGUAAAAUUUAUUUUUAGGAUUAGUAUUGUUCAUAAAUUGAAAGAAUGUUAUAAUUUAUAGAUUUUUAUUUAAGAUUUUUAUAUAAUUUAAGUUUUUUAUUUAAAAAAUUUAUUUAACUGGGGGGUUAAUUAUAUAAUGAUAAAAUUAGUAUAUAAAUUAUAAUAUUUUUAGUUAGGGUUUAAUUUAAUAAAAGGAAUUAGGCAAACAAUUUUUCACCUGUUUAUUAAAAACAUGUUUUUUUGAUUAAUGAUUUAAGGUUGGCCCUGCCCACUGAUGAUUUAAAUGGCCGCAGUAUAUUGACUGUGCAAAGGUAGCAUAAUCAUUAGUUUUUUAAUUGGGAGCUGGAAUGAAGGGGUUGAUGAAAAAAUGGCUGUCUCUUAUUUAGUUAAUAGAAUUUAAUUUUUAAGUAAGAAAGCUUAAAUGUGUUUAAAAGACGAUAAGACCCUAUAGAGUUUUAUAUUUAAAGGUAAAUUAUUAAAUUGGAUUUAAGAUUAAUAGUUUUAUUUUUAUUAUUUUGUUGGGGUGACAUUAAAAUUAAAUAAAUUUUUAAUUUAGGAGACACGAAUUGGUGGAUUUUUGAUCCAUUUAUAAUGAUUAUAAGAUUAAAUUACCUUAGGGAUAACAGCGUAAUUUUUUUUGAGAGUUCAAAUCGAAAAUAAAGUUUGCGACCUCGAUGUUGGAUUAAAAUUUAUUUUUGGAGCAGAAGUUAGAAAAUUAGGUCUGUUCGACCUUUAGAAUUUUACAUGAUCUGAGUUUAGACCGGUGUGAGCCAGGUUGGUUUCUAUCUUUAAUUUACAUUUGUGUUUUAGUACGAAAGGAUCAAAUAUUAAAUUAAUAAUUUA